UGAAGCGCUUCAUAACUCCCAGCAGGAUUUGUUCUGGCAGGAAGAUGGAAUAAAUUAUUAAAACAGUGAUGGCGAGAUAUAGAGGACAGAAAGUAGAAGGGCCUGACUUCAAAUGCCCAAAACGCAUUUUUCAUACGGAGGCAAUGACAUAAGUUAACCUACUUAACAUGUGCUUAAAAUUAGUAAUUGUUGCAUCAGAUGACCACAAAAAUAUAUAAUAAAUUAUUAGAUAAACACUAAGCAAGACUGACCAUAGCGCAUCUGCACAGAGUAUGUGCUACUCCACGUCGCUUUAAGUUUCCUUUUCGUGGGCUGCACAGUAACAUAGCGGUUGGUAAGACUUGCACACCUCGACACAAAAUGAAGCCAGUUGCCGAUGCCACAUAACCGCUGAAGAGGUGCUUCUGGAGCUCGUUCUGCUUUAAACCAUCAGGGACGGUGCAAACUUUCGAACGCGCAAGGCGAGAGACGCUGGAGAGGAGGGGGUGCGCCUCCCAUUCCGAACGGGAGUGCGCACCAGGCGCUCACCUGCGAUGGAGUCCCACAGCGCCGGCAGAACCUGAGCAGACGGGGCUAUGGGAGAGACGGCAGCCGGCAAAGCUCCGGGAAGUGCGCUCGUCCUCACCUGGGUGCUCUUCACAGCAGCUGUCUCUGCGGAGGUGAAAUGUGGCAGCAUUUACAAAGGAUUUUCAGACUGCGUGUUGAAACUUGGAGACAGCAUGGCCAUGUAUCGGGAAGAAGACAGUGCUGAGCGCGGAUUGCAGAUAAUAUGCAGCCACUGGGAAACCUUCCAUACAUGUGCCACAGCUGCACUUUCAGAGUGCCAGGAGGAAGCAGGAAAGAUCUGGGAGACAUUGAAAGAAGAGUCUAAGAAAAUCCGGUUCCAAGGAAGUCUGUUUGACCUAUGCAGUCCUAACACGGCCCCAAGGCUCAUGGGGCUGAUCAGAUCUGGCAAUUUCUUGGUGCUUUUUUCUGCUACUCUAGUUUGGCUGGCACUUUAGAUAUGACAUUAGCUGAGUGUCCUCUUGGCCAACACCUCAAGGCUGCCAGCCAUCCCCUCAGUGUAGGGCAACAUGGGCUGCAGUGCACAAAACACUUACUUGAGCAGAUCUUCAUCUUGAGUCACAGGAACUGAUGCUCAUGAUCAACUCACUAAAAAUUAUGAGUAGCCUGACUAUUGACAAAUGGAUUUUCUGUCCAUAUCCUUAGAUAUUUAAGUUAGCACAAAACCCAGCUUGCCACAGACCUGCUCUCAGUAUACAAGCAGCUUAGAGCUCAAUUUACCAUGCUUUUAAGGUAAAAUACACAAUAUCUGUGAAAACAGAGCAAAAACAUCAUCAUAAAAUGUAAGCAUAGAACAGCAAUCAUUGAAAUAAUUUGUAGCAAAAUAAUAUGGGGGGGUUAAUCCUGGUUAAAAGUUGUAGUCAGCGUUAGAUUUUACUCUGCAGAAGAGAGUGACAGAAGUUACAGACGUGACUAGUUUUAGAAAUAAGGCCUGCAUAAACACAUAGUGGAGAGUGUCGCCUCUCCUGAACAGCAAAAAAGAAAGUGAGUGUAAAUGGGCAUGGCCGGGUGAGACAAGCUUACCCACAGCUAACAUAAAGCAGUGACUUGCUGCAACACUGGGAACAGCAGCUCCACUCUAGCUCUCCUUAUAGUCUGAUGUCCCUGGAUUUGUUUGUUUACUGAGCUCACAGUUAAUAAGAAACCUAUCAGAGUAGCAAUAAUGUUCUUAGGUGGUCAUGAUCUUUCAUUAUGAUUCUACAGGAGAUUUCAAUGCUUGGUUGCUUACUAGUAGCUUGUGGUAGUGUACAAAGAUGGUUACUUUUCAGACUGAGCUAUACUGUACCUUCAUUCAGACAGAUAUCUACAGCUAUUCUCACUGCAACAUGGACCGCAAAUGUUGUAUACUCAACUGUGGUCAUGUUGCCAUUUUUUACAAUUUUAUUUCUGCCUUUGACUUCUUAGUACAGAUUGUCAUGCUCAAAGCUGUGACUUUUUGUGACCAUCAAGGUAUAAGGAAAGUAAAAUCUCCAGAGGUUGCCCUGGGCCAUGUAAUCCUUAUUUUGCAAAAACAAUCCAGUUAAUAGUGAAAAAAGGGCCUUCAAUUCCCUUUGCAGUGUACAAGCAGUCUAAAAACAUAAAAUAAAUGGUGAACAAAGCAAUCACUAUAAAAGUAAAGAAAGACAGUGGCUGUUAAUUAAUGUAUUUAUUAUAGUGAGAAUCACAACAGCGAAUGAAGCAAUAGCCCAGAUCCGUUUGUUCAAGCCCUUUUGUUGCCUCUCUACCUUCUUCUCAGGCUAUAGUAUGUCCACACUACUGCAUUUUCAUUUAAGAAUGUUUUUUUUUUUAAAAAAAAACAA
This is an RNA transcript of Erpetoichthys calabaricus (reedfish), 2363 nucleotides long. It is a transcript of the gene named neuritin-like, with no coding region annotated. Lineage: Eukaryota; Metazoa; Chordata; Cladistia; Polypteriformes; Polypteridae. The record is from RefSeq and is a predicted model, not a curated record. The transcript has 4 exons.